This 473-nucleotide ribosomal RNA is filed under the name uncultured bacterium. RNAcentral's name for it is "partial 16S ribosomal RNA". It matches the Rfam family "Bacterial small subunit ribosomal RNA", at positions 28 to 508 of the family's 1533-position model. The record is from RNAcentral.
GACGAACGCUGGCGGCGUGCUUAACACAUGCAAGUCGAACGCUGAAGCUUGGUGCUUGCACUGGGUGGAUGAGUGGCGAACGGGUGAGUAAUACGUGAGUAACCUGCCCUUGACUCUGGGAUAAGCCUGGGAGACUGGGUCUAAUACUGGAUACGACAUGUCACCGCAUGGUGGUGUGUGGAAAGGGUUUUACUGGUUUUGGAUGGGCUCACGGCCUAUCAGCUUGUUGGUGGGGUAAUGGCUCACCAAGGCGACGACGGGUAGCCGGCCUGAGAGGGUGACCGGCCACACUGGGACUGAGACACGGCCCAGACUCCUACGGGAGGCAGCAGUGGGGAAUAUUGCACAAUGGGCGGAAGCCUGAUGCAGCGACGCCGCGUGAGGGAUGACGGCCUUCGGGUUGUAAACCUCUUUCAGCACGGAAGAAGCGAAAGUGACGGUACGUGCAGAAGAAGCGCCGGCUAACUACGUGC